GCAGUCGCCACGGUAAUACGAAGGGUGCAAGCGUUACUCGGAAUUACUGGGCGUAAAGCGUGCGUAGGUGGUGGUUUAAGUCCGUUGUGAAAGCCCUGGGCUCAACCUGGGAAUUGCAGUGGAUACUGGGUCACUAGAGUGUGGUAGAGGAUAGUGGAAUUUCCGGUGUAGCAGUGAAAUGCGUAGAGAUCGGAAGGAACAUCUGUGGCGAAGGCGACUAUCUGGGCCAACACUGACACUGAGGCACGAAAGCGUGGGGAGCAAACAGGAUUAGAUACCCGCGUAGUCCCUGUCUCUUAUAC
Molecule: ribosomal RNA, 302 nt
Filed under: uncultured bacterium
Lineage: Bacteria
Description: partial 16S ribosomal RNA
Rfam family: Bacterial small subunit ribosomal RNA
Source: RNAcentral